Cyprinus carpio (common carp) is the source of this 181-nucleotide long non-coding RNA. RefSeq lists it as uncharacterized. The transcript has 3 exons. The record is from RefSeq and is a predicted model, not a curated record. NCBI's taxonomy places the organism in Eukaryota, Metazoa, Chordata, Actinopteri, Cypriniformes, Cyprinidae.
CUUGAGAACUGAACAGCGAUGCAAAGAUGACAAAUACAACUCGAGCAUCAGCCGGAGGAGUCCACGCACUCCACUGUCAGACCUGCAGGGAACAAACACGCUCCGUGAGAACAUGAGCAGGAGGUGCGAGCGCGUCUCCUCGCUCUCGUCUCAUGAGGAGGAGGGCAUCUUCGUGAACUCG